UGACCGGUGGAUAAAGGUUGAGGGAAUGUGGCACCCUCGGGUGUGUUAUAGCCCUUGAUUGUAUGCAUCGGUUGGGACUGAGGCUUCACACCGCAAGGUGUUGGAUGUUGGCAUAAUGGCUUUAAUCGACCCGUCUUGAAACACGGACCAAGGAGUCUAACAUGCUUGCGAGUAUUUGGGUGGAAAACCCAUAUGCGCAAUGAAAGUGAAAGUUGAGAACUCGUUAGAGUGCAUCGACGCCCAUACCUGACGUUUUACUGACGGAUAUGCGGUAGAGCAAGUAUGUUGGGACCCGAAAGAUGGUGAACUAUGCCUGAAUAGGGUGAAGCCAGAGGAAACUCUGGUGGAGGCUCGUAGCGAUUCUGACGUGCAAAUCGAUCGUCAAAUUUGGGUAUAGGGGCG
RNAcentral lists this ribosomal RNA (402 nucleotides) under Cyptotrama asprata. Its description in RNAcentral is "eukaryotic LSU rRNA". It matches the Rfam family "Eukaryotic large subunit ribosomal RNA", at positions 509 to 925 of the family's 3401-position model. The record is from RNAcentral. Lineage: Eukaryota; Fungi; Basidiomycota; Agaricomycetes; Agaricales; Physalacriaceae.